GGCUUCGUGGUCGAGUGGUAAGGACACUUGCCUCACACGCUGAGGUCCAGAGUUCGAUCCCCCAAGAAGCUA
Non-coding RNA from Rhamnusium bicolor, 72 nucleotides. The record is from the annotation of a GenBank genome assembly. Lineage: Eukaryota; Metazoa; Arthropoda; Insecta; Coleoptera; Cerambycidae.